RNAcentral lists this non-coding RNA (46 nucleotides) under Trichobilharzia regenti. The record is from RNAcentral. Lineage: Eukaryota; Metazoa; Platyhelminthes; Trematoda; Strigeidida; Schistosomatidae.
UUACUGAUGAAGAGUCGCAAACUACGACGAAACAGCUGUCCAGUAC